This 390-nucleotide long non-coding RNA is filed under the name Pan troglodytes (chimpanzee). RNAcentral describes it as "long non-coding RNA NONPTRT003696". The record is from RNAcentral. Lineage: Eukaryota; Metazoa; Chordata; Mammalia; Primates; Hominidae.
CGCCCCUUUCCGCCCCGCCUCCCUCCUAGGUGAAGGAAGAUGAUUUCCCCCCCAUCUUGAUCACCCCCCAGUCUUCGCCGCCAAAAACGGACUCCGCCGGCUCUCCUCGGCCCGGUGCCAGUUGUUGGAUCCAAGAGAAUUCCGGAACCCAAACGUGAAACCGCAAGUAACCCGGAGCCCUCGGCGCGACCACGGCUAGAAUCAGAGCCUAAGGCGUGUGAGCUCGGCCAUCCCACGUCUGUCUUCACGCUCACCCGCAAGUCCGACACACCGGGGCGCCCAGUUAAUGAAUACUGAAGAGUAGGGCUGUCCCUACCGCUUCUCACUUCCUUGUUUUCAUCUUUUCGUUAUUAUUAAGCGACCUAACACAAUAAACAUAUUACCUUGUUG